GAGUUAAAUAGUGCAGUGAGUAAUAAUGCAGUCAUUUACAUAUCCCAUAAGUGUCUUCCUCUUUUAUAUAUCAUUGAUGGAGGACACUCCUUCAAGCGAAACAGGUUUUAGUUGGAAGAACAGUUUUUCAAAAGCUCCCAGACAGAGCAUAUACAGCCUUAUUUGACUCGGGAAUAGGACAAUGAACAACAUUUGGCACAGUAAGAAACUUACUCAAGGAUUCAUGUCAACAAGACUUUAAGUUUGGAAAAGAGAACCACCCCAAGACCCAGAGUGAGGAACAGCAUGAGAAGAAUCAAGAUGCCCCCCUCUGAGGAUCAGAAUCAUAACAAUUGCCAUCCUCACCAACCUCUAACGAUCCCACAACAAUGUAAAGAAGACCAAUCUGGCACCAAGACAGAGGUGUAUUAUGAAAUGGAACAUUACAGCCUUAAUUCAGAACAACCACAUGGAAUCAACUGUGCCUGUAAAUAGCACGGUGGUCCCAUUUCAGGCUGGGGUGGCGGGUGUGGAUACACAUCCUCAUCUAGGCUUCAUCUCAAUAGGAUCAUCUCCAGACUGUGUUCAGGCAGCUCUACCCCAUACCGAUGACUCUUCCUCACAGCAUUCACCUCAACACCAGCUUCUUCAAUGAUGGUAGGGUUUCACGAUAGUGAGGGAACAAAAGCACAACCAUACCUUCAAUCAAGCAAGGUAUCUAGUUAUAGCUCAAACAGAAGGGAGGCACACAGAGCAGCAACAUUAGUAAACAUAUUUAUAUUACAUAACGUACACAAGAAUCCCCAAGUGUGAAUUCACAGCCACCGAUAAAUGAAAUGAUACCAUGCAGAAAGCACACCAUCAUUUUACGACUGAUCUAUCAUAGAUCUAAAACUGCGAUUAAACUGUGGUGGUGUUUACCAAAUGAGUCACUCUCAGUCAGAUAUAAUCAUCUGUCAUUUCAUGAGUGCUUCUAACCUGUUCUGUCCUGUUGUUGCAGCAGUCAUAACAUCAGGUAUGAAAAGCUCCAGUAGCCUUGGAAGAAGAGAUUAAGUGAAGGAAGAGGCUUCUUUUGAAAACAUUUCUGCUGCUAUUUUCUGCUGCUUUUAAGAUGUAUGUAUGUAUGUAUGUAUGUAUGUGUGUGUGUGUGUGUUUGUGUGUGUGUGUGUAUAUAAGCAUGUGUGUGUGUGUGUAUGUAUGUGUGUGUGUGUGUGUGUGUGUGUGUAUAAGCAUGUGUGUGUGUGUGUGUAUGUGUGUAUGUGUGUGUGUGUGUGGUAGCUAGGAAAUGUAUGUUUUUGUAUUUAAGUAAAUAUUUGCUAUUACUUAUGCAGUUAGAUGUCCUUUUUAUGUUCCAAUCAAAAUCAUAAAAACACCAAGAGUGCUUUGGUGAUUCCACUCUGGUUGCAGAUAAUAUUUUUUUCUGAUAGAUUAGUUAGCCUUCAAAAUUCUUUACAUAUGAGCAUGAACUAGCCAUAAUAUUAUCGACUUGAUCACACUGACAGCAUCAUUGUGCAUUGUCUAGAUAUGUGUGCAACAAAAGUUCACCUUCUGCUACCAUUUUUGUCAAGCUGUCUACACAUACAGUUUGACUCAUACGUUUGAUAAAUCCAACGUUUGCACCACACAGAACGCACUGCAACUGCCUCUGCAACGCAAUGCUGUAAGUCAAACGCAGCGUCCCAUUGGAAAUGAAUGUACUUCUGGUGUACUAAAACUCAAUGAAGCUGUUGGUGUGACUGAGGCAUUUUAAGUUGGAUUUAUCGAAGACAUGCGUCAAACUGUAUGCAUAGAGGGCUUGACAGAAAGGGUAGCAGAAGGUAAAUGUUGAAGUUUUGUAGCACACAUUUCAAGAUGAUGCUGCGUACCAUUUUGCGCAAUAACACUGCAGGUGUGAUCAAGGCAUUAUCCAUCGAACUAGCUUACGGCUCAGCUCGUCUCACUACUUUAGCUAAUUAACAUAGAUACAUAGCUAGCUAAUGUUAGCUACCUGGGUCAAUCUUACAAUUUUCUGUCCCCAGGAAAUAUCAGUUCUUAUUUAGUGUAAAAUGUGGAUUCCAAAAAGUCAUUAAAUAUAAGGUCAUGUGUCCUUUACCUUAAAAACACCAAAAUGUGGAUCCUGAAAGGGAAUUUUAUGCAUUUUAAACACUUUUUGUCAGUGGAUGUAGGCAUUUUUUGGAAUGUCCUCAGGUGUUCUUUAUCAACCACGACAAGAAAUAUAAGCCAUAAAAUAAUAGAAUCUUUAAAAUAUUUCUUGACUAUUUCAUAGUCCUAGUUAAAGUAUUUUGUUUUACUUUAGAAGGUGCCUAUUCUGCUUAAUGGACCCUGUAUCAUCUGAUGUGUCUCCAGUAUGAUUAUCUAUACACAUGGUUUUAUCAAGGCUUCAUGCCCAAAAUGCAGUAAGCUCCACUGAAAAAUGGAGGGUGGUACAUCUAGGCAUAGUAGUAACGAAUUCUAUGAGACUCGGCAUUACUAUAAAGUAUAAAGGUACCUGUAUCCGGCUGUUAAGGGAGCUCCAAAUUACGUAAGGCCUGGCCAUUUGUUUGUUCUUGCACAAUGUUUUACCAAACACACAUCUGCAUACACAC
This is a long non-coding RNA of Oncorhynchus tshawytscha (Chinook salmon), 2564 nucleotides long. NCBI's taxonomy places the organism in Eukaryota, Metazoa, Chordata, Actinopteri, Salmoniformes, Salmonidae. The record is from Ensembl.